CAGGGAUCUCGUGCACAGACAAACAGCCAGUGCCGUGGUGCAACAUAUGUCUCUUGGUGUUUAUGGGUUUGGCUGUGAAGAUUCUCUUAAUCAUUUGUUAAAUUACGUAUGGCCUAAUGUGUUUGAAACCUCUCCUCACGUCAUCCAGGCAGUUAUGGGGGCUCUGGAGGGCCUCAGGGUUGCGAUUGGUCCUUGCAGAAUGUUGCAGUAUUGUUUACAGGGUUUGUUUCACCCUGCCAGGAAGGUCAGAGACGUUUAUUGGAAGAUUUAUAAUUCGAUCUACAUCGGAUCGCAAGAUGCUCUGAUAGCACAUUACCCAAGGAUCUAUAAUGAUGAAAAGAACACCUAUAUUCGUUAUGAACUUGAUUACAUCUUAUAAUCUUCUUGUUCAGUUGUUUGUGUUUAAUGCACAGCUGUUCUUCAAUUAAAUGCUUCAGAUUUGUUGAUGUAAAAUUUUAAAAUAUUGGAGAUCAGUAUAGAGCUGGUCAGAGGCAGAGCUAGGAAUCCAGUAGCAUGAUUUUUUAAAUAUGUCUUUGUUUUUUGAUGUUAAACAGUUAAAGCCAGUAGUGACCAAGAAAACAGUGAUUAUAAUGUACUGGAGGGAUUUCAUUUUGGAUUCAUCUUUAUGAAGAUUUAGAUUUCAUUCCUUGUGUUUAAAGGGGAGGUUUGAGAAAUAAACAUUUGUGUAUAAAAACUAAUUUGUGUGUGGUUUUUGGACAGAGGGACUUGUAAAACAAGUCUUUUGAUGGAUUAAGUAUUUGUUCAUGUAAUAAAUAGGUGGCAUAAAACACUUUAACCCUUUUUGUCAUCCCCUAGCUUUUGAAUAAAUAACAAAAACAUAAAAACUGUA
Molecule: long non-coding RNA, 850 nt
Organism: Pterocles gutturalis (yellow-throated sandgrouse)
Lineage: Eukaryota; Metazoa; Chordata; Aves; Pterocliformes; Pteroclidae
Exons: 2
Source: RefSeq, a predicted model, not a curated record